AGGGUAAGACAGUCAUUUGGCA
This 22-nucleotide non-coding RNA is filed under the name Arabidopsis thaliana (thale cress). The record is from RNAcentral. Lineage: Eukaryota; Viridiplantae; Streptophyta; Magnoliopsida; Brassicales; Brassicaceae.